AAAAACAAAACGUAAACAAGAAAGAAAGAGAAAUUAGAGCUCAGAUUUAUCUGAGUUAGAGAGCCCACAGAUCUGCUGCCACAAGUCAGAUCCAAAAGGAACAGAGAACACACAAGAAAAGGAAAAGACACCGGAACAAAAAGGCAUGAUCGCUGAUGCCCGUCGGAAAGCCCACAAGAAGUCUCGCAGUUUGUCGUAGCCUAUAAUCAUCGGUGGACACAGUAGAAGCUGGUAGUCACCUGGAUUCUUUAGUGGUCGCCGGUAGUGGUGCUUGAGUUCUCUGGUGGUCGCCUUCUAUCACCUGCAUUCUCUGAUGGUCACCUGUGGUCGUCUGAGCUCUCUCUCUGCUGGUCGCCUUCUUUUGCCUGGGUUCUCUGGUGGUCGUCUGAGGGUCGCUGUAAUUCAAUUUCCUUUGAUUUUUUGCUAUGGUAUUUUUUGUGUUGUUUUAACAAACAAGUGGCGUUCUCUAAUGUGGUAAUGGUUUGACUUGGUAACAAACUGGAUUGAAU
RNAcentral lists this long non-coding RNA (509 nucleotides) under Amborella trichopoda. Its description in RNAcentral is "long non-coding RNA (ATRI_LNC003653)". Lineage: Eukaryota; Viridiplantae; Streptophyta; Magnoliopsida; Amborellales; Amborellaceae. The record is from RNAcentral.